RNAcentral lists this non-coding RNA (45 nucleotides) under Trichobilharzia regenti. Lineage: Eukaryota; Metazoa; Platyhelminthes; Trematoda; Strigeidida; Schistosomatidae. The record is from RNAcentral.
AUCCAGAUGACGAGUCCCAAACAGGAUUAAAUGCUCAUCCUGGAU